GUGAAUUUACAUUGCUUCUUUAGUUUUUGCUCAUUCUUCAGUGUUUGCUUUUCUUUUAAUUAAUCUAAUUAGAUGUUUGUUUCUUUUUCAUGUUCAUCUGCAGCCAAAAUACCUGCAGAGGUUCAUCAAGUAAGAAUAAAAACUCUCUGAGCUUCGUAUUUUAAAUAUGCUUGCUAGCUGAAAUUUUUUUGAGUUUCAGAAACAGAUGGAGACAGGCGCGAGCAUGGUCACUUGAACUCGUUAUGUUAAAGGUGGUGGUUUGCAUGGAUGGAAUCUUAUGUGUAAAUUGACGAGAAGAGGGGUAAAUGUCCUUGUGCAGACUUUUCUUUGGCCGGGUGUAUCAGACUAAACAGGAUCAAUCUGGUACAAUCAAAAUUUAUUUUAUUAUUAUUUUUCAGGAACAAUUAAUUAAUGGUAUGUACUUCACCUACAAGCUUUUGAUUAUUAUUGUUGGGUUUGAAGUCUUUACCAGAAAUCUGUGCUUGAAGAUGUCAUAAGUUCUUUUCGGAGAAAAGGCUAUGUUUUCCAGAUAGAGAUGAUUGUUCAGGCCUCACAAAGAAAAGGUAGUUGUGAUAUGUAAUCUGCAAUUUUUGAUAAGGUUCUCCAUAUGAAUGCUAUAUUUUCGUCUUAUCAACAUGAGGUAGCUACUUCAUCAGUGGAGUUGUGAAAACUGUUGGUAAUUUUGUGAGAAUGACAGGGCUUCAAACUACUACUUGGAAAUAUACGGUGCAACUGCAAAGAUGGGAUUAAAAGACUUGCUGUUAAAAAAUAGUCAAUGAGACCAUGCUCAAGCUUGGAGAAAGCUGUUUGAAGCUCGCAAUUUAUGAUUUUAAAGUGUAUUACUAGAUUUAAUAUUCGAUCAGUUUGAAGUGAAACCUUUAAUUAUUGUUAAUUAAAAUUGCUUCGUUGUAUGUGAAUUCUUUUGGUACUAAUGCUCCAAUUAAAAAUGUGAUAGGCCACCAAUUAACAUGAUAUAUGCAAGGCAUGAUUAGGUGAAACAGGGCAGGGACAAUAAGGGAAACAAACCAGUGUAGCAAGAGGGAAAACACGUGAGCUUGCAACCAACUGCAUGUGCAGACCGUUAAGAGGGAAAUUCCAGAAGAAUACCAACUACUAUAAAAGGCAGGAAAGAAGCAACAAGAAGUGCAGGAAGAAUCUAGCAUACCUGAGGAGAGAAUGAGCCUCUCGAAUAGCUCAUAUUUCUUGUAUUUUUUAUUUCUUUAGUUUCAAUCCAGUGUAAUCGUUCAUUUGAAUCAAAUUUUCAUAGUACAGCUCUUCAUUUAAGCC
Molecule: long non-coding RNA, 1287 nt
Filed under: Olea europaea subsp. europaea
Lineage: Eukaryota; Viridiplantae; Streptophyta; Magnoliopsida; Lamiales; Oleaceae
Source: RNAcentral